CGGCGAGCAAUACUCAUAACUCCCAAGCGCCUGCGAACGCAAGCUCUCCUUACCCCGGUGCAGAUGGAGCUCGUGUCCCAAGGCGCCUCCAGGCCUAAACCCGGGCCUGC
This is a microRNA precursor of Danio rerio (zebrafish), 110 nucleotides long. The record is from Ensembl. Lineage: Eukaryota; Metazoa; Chordata; Actinopteri; Cypriniformes; Danionidae.